This 639-nucleotide ribosomal RNA is filed under the name Salmonella enterica subsp. enterica serovar Gaminara. RNAcentral's name for it is "partial 23S ribosomal RNA". It matches the Rfam family "Bacterial large subunit ribosomal RNA", at positions 550 to 1190 of the family's 2925-position model. The record is from RNAcentral. Lineage: Bacteria; Pseudomonadati; Pseudomonadota; Gammaproteobacteria; Enterobacterales; Enterobacteriaceae.
CUGAAACCGUGUACGUACAAGCAGUGGGAGCACCCUUUGGGGUGUGACUGCGUACCUUUUGUAUAAUGGGUCAGCGACUUAUAUUCUGUAGCAAGGUUAACCGAAUAGGGGAGCCGGAGGGAAACCGAGUCUUAACCGGGCGUUAAGUUGCAGGGUAUAGACCCGAAACCCGGUGAUCUAGCCAUGGGCAGGUUGAAGGUUGGGUAACACUAACUGGAGGACCGAACCGACUAAUGUUGAAAAAUUAGCGGAUGACCUGUGGCUGGGGGUGAAAGGCCAAUCAAACCGGGAGAUAGCUGGUUCUCCCCGAAAGCUAUUUAGGUAGCGCCUCGUGAAUUCAUCUCCGGGGGUAGAGCACUGUUUCGGCUAGGGGGCCAUCCCGGCUUACCAACCCGAUGCAAACUGCGAAUACCGGAGAAUGUUAUCACGGGAGACACACGGCGGGUGCUAACGUCCGUCGUGAAGAGGGAAACAACCCAGACCGCCAGCUAAGGUCCCAAAGUCAUGGUUAAGUGGGAAACGAUGUGGGAAGGCCCAGACAGCCAGGAUGUUGGCUUAGAAGCAGCCAUCAUUUAAAGAAAGCGUAAUAGCUCACUGGUCGAGUCGGCCUGCGCGGAAGAUGUAACGGGGCUAAACCAU